GCGUCCGGACGACCGGAUGCAUGACAACCAUGCAGGACGACCUGC
RNAcentral lists this non-coding RNA (45 nucleotides) under Gallionella capsiferriformans. RNAcentral describes it as "Guanidine-II sequence". It matches the Rfam family "Guanidine-II riboswitch aptamer (mini-ykkC)". From Rfam's summary of the family: Simpler in structure and has fewer highly conserved nucleotide positions than the ykkC-yxkD leader. Despite this each of its two stem-loop structures directly bind free guanidine. The record is from RNAcentral. RNAcentral also lists the same sequence under 1 other name. Lineage: Bacteria; Pseudomonadati; Pseudomonadota; Betaproteobacteria; Nitrosomonadales; Gallionellaceae.